AUUAGAUACCCCACUAUGCUUAAGCCAUUAACCAAGGCAGAAAUAAAACCCCCUGCCCGCCAGAACACUACAAGCAAAAGCUUCAAACUCAAAGGACUUGACGGUGUUGCAAACCGGCCUAGAGGAGCCUGUCCCAUAAUCGAUAACCCACGCUCCACCUCACCCCCCCUAGCCUCCCAGCCUAUAUACCGCCGUCGAAAGCCUACCUUUUAAAAGCCCAGCCGUGAGCAAAACAGCCUAACAAGCUAACACGUCAGGUCAAGGUGUAGCAAACGGGGGGGGCACAAGAUGGGCUACAUUUUCUACCACAGGGCGUACCAUACAACCGCAUGAAACACGAACAAAAGCUGGAUUUAGUAGUAAGCAUGGCUAGUCAAACCACGCUGAAACCAGCGCUGC
RNAcentral lists this ribosomal RNA (399 nucleotides) under Paroedura oviceps. RNAcentral's name for it is "partial 12S ribosomal RNA". It matches the Rfam family "Bacterial small subunit ribosomal RNA", at positions 777 to 1377 of the family's 1533-position model. Lineage: Eukaryota; Metazoa; Chordata; Lepidosauria; Squamata; Gekkonidae. The record is from RNAcentral.